RNAcentral lists this ribosomal RNA (408 nucleotides) under uncultured bacterium. RNAcentral describes it as "bacterial SSU rRNA". It matches the Rfam family "Bacterial small subunit ribosomal RNA", at positions 917 to 1322 of the family's 1533-position model. The record is from RNAcentral.
GGGCCCGCACAAGCGGUGGAGCAUGUGGUUUAAUUCGACGCAACGCGCAGAACCUUACCAGCCCUUGACAUGUGGAGUUUGGUUAUCAGAGAUGAUUUCCUUCAGUUCGGCUGGCUCCAACACAGGUGCUGCAUGGCUGUCGUCAGCUCGUGUCGUGAGAUGUUGGGUUAAGUCCCGCAACGAGCGCAACCCUCAUCUUUAGUUGCCAUCAGUUCGGCUGGGCACUCUAGAGAAACUGCCUGGGAUGACCAGGAGGAAGGCGAGGAUGACGUCAAGUCCUCAUGGCCCUUAUGGGCUGGGCUACACACGUGCUACAAUGGCGGUGACAAAGGGACGCAAUAGGGCAACCUGGAGCAAAUCCCUAAAAGCCGUCUCAGUUCGGAUUGUUCUCUGCAACUCGAGAGCAUG